RNAcentral lists this ribosomal RNA (433 nucleotides) under uncultured bacterium. RNAcentral describes it as "partial 16S ribosomal RNA". It matches the Rfam family "Bacterial small subunit ribosomal RNA", at positions 29 to 507 of the family's 1533-position model. The record is from RNAcentral.
AGCGAACGCUGGCGGCAGGCCUAACACAUGCAAGUCGAACGAACUCUUCGGAGUUAGUGGCGGACGGGUGAGUAACACGUGGGAACGUUCCUUUUGGUUCGGACUAACUCAGGGAAACUUGUGCUAAUACCGAAUGUGCCCUUCGGGGGAAAGAUUUAUUGCCAUUAGAGCGGCCCGCGUCUGAUUCGCUAGUUGGUAAGGUAACGGCUCACCAAGGCGACGAUCAGUAGCUGGUCUGAGAGAAUGACCACCCACACCGGGAGUGAGACGCGGCCCAGACUCCUACGGGAGGCAGGAGUGGGUAAUCUUGCGCAGUGGGCGAAAGCCUGACGCAGCCAGGCCGCGUGAAUGAUGAUGGUCUUAGGAUUGUAAAGUUCUUUCACCGGGGACGAUAAUGACGGUACCCGGAGAAGAAGCCCCGGCUAACUUCGUG